This is a non-coding RNA of Theobroma umbraticum, 619 nucleotides long. Lineage: Eukaryota; Viridiplantae; Streptophyta; Magnoliopsida; Malvales; Malvaceae. The record is from RefSeq and is a predicted model, not a curated record.
ACAUGGAGCAUCACUAAGGCACAAGUAACCUGUCUAAGCAAAUCAACCUACAAUAUUUUAAGCCCUCUCCCCCCCCUAUAUUUCCUUCCAACUCUUCACCUAACAUGAUGAGUUAAGAGUGCCAAACUCACUUCUCCAAAUUAAUGGGGUGGUUUCACUCCCUCCUCUCCCCGUUCAAGAAGCUCUGGGAUCGCCUCCAUUCAAGCCAGAGAAGGGGAAGGGGAAUAUAUAUCCUUUACAAGGAUGUCAAGUCCUGCCCAUGUGAGGAUGUGCAAGUGCUGUGGUCAAUACUGGUGCAGUCACAAACCGCUGCUUUGCCAUCAAAAAGAAGUGAAGCCUCAAUUUCCCCAGAGUAAACCAUGACUGUGAAUAAGAAAGUUUCCCUUUGCGUCCAUAUGAUUAUAUAUGUACUUACACCCUUACACUCCCCUGUUUUUCAGUUCAUAUCAGUUCUGUACUUAGAUUUUAUGUACAGGCAAGAUUAACUUAUUUGGCUGGAUCAGCUCUUCUUCUUUUUCCCACUCUUCCUUUGGUACUGCUCAUUGCAGCAAAGUUGAAGAACUUGUAAUCUUGACAAAGAAUGAGAAUCUGAAAGAAGUUAUGACCCAUUUGAUUUCAA